UAGACGCUCCGACAGAGUCUUUGACUUGCCUAGAGACGAACUUUCCCGUGCUUUUUAUAUAUCGAUGGCACCAGAACAUGUGACCAUCCAAACGUAAUACGACACGGAAUUACUUCGCCAAUCGGAUUGUUAUGGCAAGGUUCGCCGAUCACGUUUCUCUUUCUUCACGAAGGAUAUAACCCUUUGAUUUGAGCUCACGUGCUGUUGCCCCUUUGGGGUUGCCCUCCCCGGGGGCGUCGAACCCCCGGCGACGCCUCACUGACGCUGAAUGGUUGUUCAAUUGGACGGUUGAUACGCUCGGAAAGAUGGUACCGUAGCUCAGAUGGUUCCAGAACACGCUUGAUAAGAGUGGCGGCUGAAGAUCAAGGCUUCCCGGAGCCACCAUUGACCCGCUGAAUUUACCUGAUCCCUGGAGUUUUUGGUGCCCGGUGGUUGCGAUGGUUGGGGGUGUAGCUCGGCUGGGACAGCACCUGCUUUGCAAGCAGGCCGGCUUCGGAUCGAUCCCGCUCAGGUCCACCUCCCGCGGAACGCCGCUUAGGGGGGAAGCGGGGUAAUAUCCUUCUGAAGAAAAUAUAGUUUGCAUCGUAUGAAAGGACUGAUGCCUGGACAGAAUACAUUGUGAAGAGAAAAAAUGUGUGAAAACAACAAAGUGUUUUAAGCCCUCCUGGGUUGAA
This 674-nucleotide unclassified non-coding RNA is filed under the name Rhizobium sp. RNAcentral describes it as "partial may contain 16S ribosomal RNA, 16S-23S ribosomal RNA intergenic spacer, and 23S ribosomal RNA". Lineage: Bacteria; Pseudomonadati; Pseudomonadota; Alphaproteobacteria; Hyphomicrobiales; Rhizobiaceae. The record is from RNAcentral.